UAACACAUGCAAGUCNAGCGGUAGAANAGAANCUUGCUUCUCUUGAGAGCGGCGGACGGGUGAGUAAUGCCUANGAAUCUGCCUGGUAGUGGGGGAUAACGUUCGGAAACAAACGCUAAUACCGCAUA
Molecule: ribosomal RNA, 128 nt
Filed under: Pseudomonas sp. 4.12.53
Lineage: Bacteria; Pseudomonadati; Pseudomonadota; Gammaproteobacteria; Pseudomonadales; Pseudomonadaceae
Description: partial 16S ribosomal RNA
Rfam family: Bacterial small subunit ribosomal RNA
Source: RNAcentral